Long non-coding RNA from Hypanus sabinus (Atlantic stingray), 154 nucleotides. RefSeq lists it as uncharacterized. NCBI's taxonomy places the organism in Eukaryota, Metazoa, Chordata, Chondrichthyes, Myliobatiformes, Dasyatidae. The transcript has 3 exons. The record is from RefSeq and is a predicted model, not a curated record.
GAAACGCAAAUGCAACACAUCUCCACCUGCGCGACGUUGUAAAGGGCCGUUGCUUGGCCAACACAGUCCAUUUGCAGGGUGGGCUGUUUUUCAACUUGAGGGGGCCGACGAAGAUACCACAACUGCACCUCCGGUGCCUACUCGCCUUGACAGG